Molecule: ribosomal RNA, 253 nt
Filed under: uncultured bacterium
Lineage: Bacteria
Description: partial 16S ribosomal RNA
Rfam family: Bacterial small subunit ribosomal RNA
Source: RNAcentral
UACGGGGGGGGCAAGCGUUGUUCGGAAUUACUGGGCGUAAAGGGCUCGUAGGCGGCCAACUAAGUCAUACGUGAAAUCCCUCGGCUUAACCGGGGAACUGCGUCUGAUACUGGAUGGCUUGAGUUCGGGAGAGGGAUGCGGAAUUCCAGGUGUAGCGGUGAGAUGCGUAGAUAUCUGGAGGAACACCGGUGGCGAAGGCGGCAUCCUGGACCGAUACUGACGCUGAGGAGCGAAAGCCAGGGGAGCGAUCCGG